ACCCACUCAAUGCUACGAGAAGCCCAAGCCCUGUGGAGAGACCAUGGAAGUGGCUUGGGUCAAUAGUCCCAGCAGAGCUGAGCCUUCAAGUCUUCCUAGCCCAGGCACCAGAGAUGGGAGAGAGGAACUCUCCAGGGAGAAAAAGUAAACAUAGACAGGUCGUCAGCCAGGGUUCAUCGGGAGGCUGCGGUUUUCCCAGCUGUGGAGUGGCCACCUCCUCCCAGCCUCCCUGAGUCAGCCAUGGACUCCAGCGGGGACACACUGUGGGAAACGUCGUGGGAAAACAGCAAACCCAGGGAGCGAAAGAAAAUAAAGACCAGCAGUGACCCCUCCACUCAGAGAGACCUGUGGACACCAUUUGCGGCGUUUAUCCAGCAGUUUUUUCUUUCUACCGGUGAUAACACAGCCUGCAUCGCGAAUCCAGGAGAAAAGGAUGGUCUUCCCAGGAAAUGGUGCCAGAAUAACUCGCUAUUCAUAUGGAAGAAAAUGAAAAUGAUUCCGUAUGUCAUCCCACACAUUAAAAAUCCAUUCCAGAUGGAUUAAGGAUUUAAAUAUAAAUGGGAUGCCCGGAAGAAGCCUUGCAUCUGGAUAUCAGCCACAGACACGGAGAUACUCAAAGAAGCAUUGUGCACCUGGAGAGAAACCAGAUCGCCAUUAACAAUCGAACAUAGAAACAUUGGCUGGGGGCGGUGGCUCACGCCUGUAAUUCCAGCACUUUGGGAAGCCGAGGCCGGGCGGAUCACUUGAA
This 748-nucleotide long non-coding RNA is filed under the name Homo sapiens (human). RNAcentral's name for it is "HSALNT0400862". Lineage: Eukaryota; Metazoa; Chordata; Mammalia; Primates; Hominidae. The record is from RNAcentral.